Armigeres subalbatus is the source of this 925-nucleotide long non-coding RNA. RefSeq lists it as uncharacterized. The record is from RefSeq and is a predicted model, not a curated record. The transcript has 3 exons. Lineage: Eukaryota; Metazoa; Arthropoda; Insecta; Diptera; Culicidae.
UUUCAUAAGCACCAAGCGGUAUUAUACUCGAUUUUCAUCCCGGUAUUAACUUUAAUACGCCGAUUUCGGCGUAUUAAGAUAAUCCGAGAUUUUCGAAAUGUACGCAGCCGAAACCACAUUUGCCCUCACACACACCUGCAAAGAAAAAUAAUGACAGUUGCAUGUUUACUUUUUGUGCUGAGAUUUUGUGCUUUACUUUGAAUUCGAGUUUGCAAAAGUUUCAAGAACUGAGGUUUCUUUUGCGAUUGUUAAAAUCACACUUUAUUUUGCGCCGACGCCCUGAUGGCAAACAUAAACAGCCGGAAGUCGAACAUUUUGCUGGUGCCAACCUGGGACCUGGACUCGUUUCAAAUGCUAGUGAGUAGCACGAAAUGAAAGUGGAUCGCUAAAUCAUUUGGCCACGUUCUGGGCUGUGGAACCGGGGUAAUCAUGAACGAUACGCACCCGUGGCAGCACAUAAGAACCUGCUGCUUCUGCUUUCAUAGUUUCCCUUGCGCCAAGUGCUCAAGAUCUGCUGAACAAUCGCUCCGAGAUUUUAGGUUCCGGAUAAAAUGAUUCCAUCGUGCUCGAUCAUAUGCUUUGUCGGAAAAAUCGAACACCAAACGUGUGGCUACUGAAUCAACUUCUAACUACAUAUCUGGCAAUCAAGAUUUAGGAGCAUUUACGGGUUUGAUCGGUUUUGUGCUAAUGGACAAGAGUGGUUUUCGGGAACUAUUGUGGCUCAGAAGAUUCUUUGUAUUUGAAGAGGAACCGAUCAUGAAAAACUGACAGGACAAAACCUGCUAAAGUCCAUAUUACCUGAUAACCAUGAUGAUAGUAAUUGUUCUCAAAAUAUCGAGAGUGGCAAUGCUAUGUAUAUAUAUUUCAAAGUACGAUGGUAUGAUCUAAUUGUUAAAAAUAAAUUCGAAUAGGUAUGCACACGAAA